AGAUAACAGCAAUCUAGCUGUGAUGUCUGUCACACCACUCAUCUUCAGGGAUGACCCUGAUGUGGCUUGUGUGUGGGUGUCCCCUUCCUCCCUCAGCACUCCAUGUUUGUCCCUCCUGAAGUUGUACCAUGUUCAUAGGUUGCAAAAUUAAUACCAAAACCAGCUGUGAGCCAGGUGUAAUGGCACAUGCCUUUAAUCCCAGCACUUGGAAGGCAGAGGUAGGAGGACUGCUGUGAGUUCAAGGCCACCCUGAGACUACAUAGAGAAUUCCAGGUCAGCCUGAACUACCUCAAAAAUUAAAAAAAAAAAAAAAUUAAAGGAUAAUCUUCCCUUAUUGAGGAGGCCUUCUU
This 350-nucleotide small RNA is filed under the name Jaculus jaculus (lesser Egyptian jerboa). RNAcentral describes it as "7SK RNA (ENSJJAG00000008206.1)". The stretch from base 1 to 247 matches the Rfam family "7SK RNA". From Rfam's summary of the family: 7SK was discovered as an abundant small nuclear RNA in the mid-70s but a possible function has only recently been suggested. Two independent studies have found that 7SK RNA binds the CDK9/cyclin T complex (known as elongation factor P-TEFb). The record is from RNAcentral. Lineage: Eukaryota; Metazoa; Chordata; Mammalia; Rodentia; Dipodidae.